GGAAAUGUGGCUUAGUGGUACAGUGCUUGCCUAGCACGCAUGAAAUACUGGGUUCGAUUCCUCAGUACCA
This 70-nucleotide transfer RNA is filed under the name Dipodomys ordii (Ord's kangaroo rat). It matches the Rfam family "tRNA". Rfam says of the family: Transfer RNA (tRNA) molecules are approximately 80 nucleotides in length. The record is from Rfam by way of RNAcentral. Lineage: Eukaryota; Metazoa; Chordata; Mammalia; Rodentia; Heteromyidae.